Oncorhynchus tshawytscha (Chinook salmon) is the source of this 999-nucleotide long non-coding RNA. The record is from Ensembl. NCBI's taxonomy places the organism in Eukaryota, Metazoa, Chordata, Actinopteri, Salmoniformes, Salmonidae.
GGUCAAGAAUGAUUGUAGGGUUGGUUGGUUGAUUUGGUCGAGGCUGAUUGCAGGGUUGGUUUCGGGCUGGACAGGAAACAGGAAUUCGGGAACGCGCAUCCCAUGUAGGCGCACUCCCGGCUGAUUCCCCCGGAAUGGAGCAGCGAGCCAGUAACGGCAGUGAAAACCGUUCACUUCUGAACACCACAAUAUUGCAUUGACACCCGGAUUUGCGACACAUUUAAACCUACCAGUUUUUACGUUGGAUUCCCGAGGAAAACGUUCUGGAUUUGUGACACUGGUUGCUGUUGGCCAAUGUUCUGAAACUACAGAACACAGUGAGCCAAUUCUCUGAUCCUGGUGUGGUGGUCUGGGGGAGGAGUCUCUGAGCACAUCCUGGUGUGGUGGUCUGGGGGAGGAGUCUCUGAGCACAUCCUGGUGUGGUGGUCUGGGGGAGGAGUCUCUGAGCACAUCCUGGUGUGGUGGUCUGGGGGAGGAGUCUGAGUCUUGCAGGAAAUCACGCACAGAAGAGCAGUAUGGCUGGUGGAAUUGUCAUGCUGUAGGGUCAUGUCAGGAUGAGCCUGCAGGAAGGGUACCACAUGAGGGAGGAGGAUAUCUUCCCUGUAAUGCACAGCAUUGAGAUUGCCUGCAAUGACAACAAGCUCAGUCCGUUGAUGCAGUGACACACUGCGCCAGACCAUGACGGACCCUCCACCUCCAAAACGAAUCCCACUCCAGAGUGCAGGCCUUGGUGUAAAUGCUCAUUCCUUCGACGAUAAACGCGAAUCCGACCAUCGCCCCUGGUGAGACGACAACUGCAGCUCGUCAGUGAAGAGCACUUUUUGCCAGUCCUGUCUGGUCCAGCGACGGUGGGUUUGUGCCCAUAGGCGACGUUAUUGCCAGUGAUGUCUGGUGAGGACCUGCCUUUACAACAGGCCUACAAGCCCUCAGUCCAGCCUCUCUCAGACUAUUAUGGACAGUCUGCACUGAUGGAGGGAUUGUGCGUUCCUGGUGUAACUC